CAGUCGCCGCGGGAAUACAGAGGGUGCGAGCGUUAAUCGGAUUUACUGGGCGUAAAGCGUGCGUAGGCGGUUUGGCAAGUUUGGUGUGAAAUCUUCGGGCUCAACUCGAAGUCUGCAUCGAAAACUGCCGGGCUUGAGUAUGGGAGAGGUGAGUGGAAUUUCCGGUGUAGCGGUGAAAUGCGUAGAUAUCGGAAGGAACACCUGUGGCGAAAGCGGCUCACUGGACCAUAACUGACGCUGAUGCACGAAAGCUAGGGGAGCAAACAGGAUUAGAUACCCCUGUAGUCCCUGUCUCUUAUAC
This 301-nucleotide ribosomal RNA is filed under the name uncultured bacterium. RNAcentral describes it as "partial 16S ribosomal RNA". It matches the Rfam family "Bacterial small subunit ribosomal RNA", at positions 509 to 807 of the family's 1533-position model. The record is from RNAcentral.